This is an RNA transcript of Prunus persica (peach), 5539 nucleotides long. It is a transcript of the gene named origin of replication complex subunit 1A, with no coding region annotated. Lineage: Eukaryota; Viridiplantae; Streptophyta; Magnoliopsida; Rosales; Rosaceae. The record is from RefSeq and is a predicted model, not a curated record. The transcript has 17 exons.
AUGGAGAUUACCUGCAGACCGCCUCUGGCGGACAUUCCAAAAACCCCAAAAUCUGCUGGGAAGGGCAAGAAAUCGAAGCGUAAAGAGGAGGGAAAUUUGACUGAGGUUGAAGUUGCAUUCUCUCCAGAGACGCCAGGGCAGUCUGAGACUAAGAAGAGGAAGAGGGACGAGGAGAGCAAGGUAGUUACACGCUCGAGGGCCUCGAAAAAUGUCAACUUUGAGAAGAACAAGGCAGUAUCAAAAAGACGGGUUUAUUAUAAGAAGGUUGUGUAUGAUGGGGGUGAAUUUGAGGUCGGGGAUAAUGUUUAUGUGAGGAGGAGAGAGGAUGCAAGCUCGGAUGACGAAUUGGUUGAAGUGGAUGAAUGUAGGGUGUGCUUUAAGUCUGGGAAAUCUGUAAUGAUCGAGUGUGAUGAUUGUUUAGGUGGGUUCCAUUUGAAAUGCUUGAAACCUCCAUUGAAGGAGGUUCCUGAAGGAGAUUGGAUAUGUCGGUUUUGUGAUGAUCGCAAAUUGGGAAAGGAAGUCAAGCUUCCGACACCACCAGAAGGGAAGAAAAGGGUUAGAACGUUGAGGGAGAAGCUUCUCUCGAGCGAUUUAUGGGCUGCCCACAUUGAAAGUAUAUGGAAAGAAGUAGAUGGUAUCUAUUGGCGUCGGGUACGUUGGUAUAUAAUCCCGUAAGAGACUGUGGCUGGAAGACAACCUCAUAAUUUGAGGCGAGAAAUUUAUCGCACCAAUGAUUUUGCUGACAUUGAGAUGAAGUCUAUUCUUCGACAUUGUUUUGUCAUGAAUCCCAAAGAAUAUGCCAAAGCGAAUGAAGGUGAUGAUGUUUAUUUGUGUGAAUAUGAAUAUGAUAUUCAUUGGCACAGUUUCAAUCGUCCUGCUGAAAUUGAUAAUGGUGAAGAGGAUGAUGAUGGAGCUGAAAGUGAUGGAGAUUGGAAACUUAGCAAAGACCCAGACUCUGAUACAGAAGAAGAAAUGGACUAUGACGAGGAGAGCAUAAAAAAUAUAAUAGCCAAACCAUCUAGAGCUCAUGAGUUGGCUGCAAAUUCACAGAAGGGGCGGUUCUUUGGACUUCAGAAGAUAGGAGUUAAGAAAAUCCCAGAGCAUGUAAGAUGCCACAAGCAGACUGAUCUUGAAAGAGCAAAGGCAGCAUUUCUGUUGGCAUCAUUGCCUAAGUCUUUACCUUGCAGGGAUAAAGAAAUGUUGGAGAUAACUGCAUUUAUCAAAGAUGCCAUCUCUGAUGAUAAAUGUGUGGGACGUUGCCUGUACAUUCAUGGUGUUCCUGGAACUGGCAAGACAAUGAGUGUGCUAGCAGUAAUGAGGAAUCUAAGAACUGAAGUUGACGCAGGAAGUAUAAGACCCUACUCUUUUGUGGAGAUAAAUGUUCUAAAGUUGGCAUCACCAGAGAAUAUUUAUAGGGUUAUAUAUGAAGCAUUAAGUGGGCACAGAGUUAGUUGGAAGAAGGCUCUCCACUUGCUAAAUGAACAAUUUUCUGAAGGAAAGAAAAUUGGCAAGGAGGAUGACAAGCCUUGCAUUCUUCUCAUUGAUGAACUUGAUCUUCUUCUGACCAGAAACCAGUCGGUUCUAUACAACAUUCUUGACUGGCCUACUAAGCCACACUCAAAGUUAGUUGUAAUAGGCAUAGCAAAUACCAUGGAUCUUCCUGAGAAGUUGCUUCCUCAUAUUUCAAGUCGUAUGGGAAUCGAAAGGCUUUGCUUUGGCCCCUAUAAUUACCAACAGCUUCAAGAGAUAGUUUCUAGUCGUCUUAAAGGAAUUAAUGCCUUUAAAGAACAAGCUAUAGAAUAUGCUUCAAGAAAGGUAGCAGCUAUUUCAGGAGAUGCCGGUCGUGCAUUGGAGAUAUGCAGGCGUGCAGCAGAAAUCACAGAUUAUUGACCUAAGAAGCUAAUCUCAAAUUCUAAUAAUGCUUCUCAAGGAAAAUCACUUGUUGGAAUGGCAGAGGUUGAAGCAGCCAUACAAGAAAUGUUCCAGGCACCUCAUAUUCAAGUGAUGGAAACUUCUUCCAGGCUGAGUAAAAUAUUUUUGACUGCCACGGUGUAUGAACUCUACAAAACAGGAAUGGGGGAAACUACAUUCGAAAAGUUGGCAAUGACAGUCUCAUGACUCUGUACAAGUAACGGAGAAGCAUUUCCCGGACAUGACAUGCUCUUAAAAAUUGGUUGUAAACUUGGGGAGUGCAGAAUUGUUUUAUGUGAAUUGGGAGCAAAGCACAGGUUGCAGAAGCUGCAGCUCAAUUUUCCAAGUGACGAUGUGGCAUUUGCACUCAAGGACAGCAAGGAGUUACGUUGGUUGGCCAAGUAUCUAUGAUUCUAGAUUCAAUCAUUUUCGAUUAAAAGGAGGAGGAGAAGACACAAUGGAAUUGCAUGCACGAAUAUUGAUAGAAAUAAUGGAAGAGAAUAAAAGGAUGAAAAGGAAGCAGCCAUGUUGGAUUGGGUGAUGAGACUGCACUAGCAGGUACAUAAGGUUAAUAGGCACAAUUAGUUUGGUAAGUACAUUAGUUGACUCUGAUUAUGCAAAAUGUUUGGUUAUAAACAUCAACUCAACUCUGAUUACUCGAUUACGUACAUUGACUCGAUACCAAAUAUUUAUAAGGAUAAAGAGAGUGGAUUAGGAUUUAUACAUGAUUCUAGACAAUUUUCUAUACAUGAUUCUGUUUAAAAUAUAUAUAUAUUAUAUAUAUGUAACAUUGUAUACUCUUAUAUAAUGAUCAUAGUUGAGUCCAUGUUUGUUAGUUCGAUAGGUAAAUUAUUCGAUGUUUUUCAUUUCCUAAUGUAAGCAAUGUGCUUUCAAUAUGAGGUUCAUGUCUGUGAACUGUAUACCCUAUGGAGUAUUGGAGUCCGGACUAAGCAAACUUAUCUCAAUUUAGUUUUUUAUUUAUCUUUAUGCUCGUAUUUAUUGAUUCAUUUCAUUUUUGGUAUUGAGUCAUCAUCUUGUUAUCUUUUUGCUAUUCAAGGUGGGUACAGACAUGAUUCAAAUGUACACUUAUGCAGAUUAGGAAAGAAAUAAAUUCUUGAUAGGCAAAACAUGUUUGUUAGUUUGGUAGGUAAACUAGUUGUAACCCUCCUGUGUCCAUCAUCAAUUGGUAUUGUUCUUUUGUCUCAGGUUGUCCACACUUGCAUUCUCUUUUGUUGUUGUGUGGUUCAUCUAUUCGAUAAUAUUACAAGUUCUUUUGUUUUAGGUUGUCCACACGUGCCUUCCUACAAACGUUUUUUUAUUAUAUUUUUUUUUAUUGUUACAUAGUGCUGUUUUUCUUUAAAAAAAAAUGUUUGGAUUGAUAUUCUUGUAGUUUCUUUGUUGCAUUAAAUGGAACUUGUCGUACUUGGAAGACGUGUUUUUAAGGAUAAGACUGUUUCGAUUCCACUUCAAAGUGAUUCUACUCUAAUGGUUUUUUAUUAUGAUAUAUGUUCAAGAUUUAAUGAGCUUGGGGUUGGGGCUUUUGAGAUGACUUACCUUGUGUCGGAUCAUCCUCCAUUUGUACUAGAGACCGACUUAGUGACUGUACACAUACUGCUGAGAACGAUUUCAAUGGAAAAUAUGCAGCACCAUCUGGUCAUACAUACUUCUCUCAUUCAUGGAAGAACUACAUCAAUCAUGUGGGCCAGAAGUUUACAGGUGGGGUUAUUGAGUUUAGAGAAAAAUUGUGCAAGUAUGCUAUUGAGAAAGGUUUUAAGGUUGGGUAUCUUAAAAAUGAAAAAGAGAGAGUGACUUCCUAGUAUUCUAAACAAGUGUCUGAUGGUUGUAGUUUGCGUGUGCAUGCGUCAUUAUGUCUUGCAAAUUGGUUUUUUUUAUAAAUACAUUUGGAGCUUGAACAACGAACACACUUGCAACGGACUCAUCCUCGAAUGUAAGAGCAGCAUGAUGUCUUCAAAAAUUGUGCCCUCCGUUUUGAUCAACCAAAUUCAAUCUAAACCAUUGAUUAAACUGAUUGAAAAUUUCAAGGAUUUCAAGAACUAUGGGUUGUACAUUUCUUAUCACAAUGCAUGGUAUGGUAAAGAAUUAGCAAAGAAAAGGGUCCAUGGUGAUGAGUCAUUGUUGUAUAAGCACUUAGUUUGGUACAUGGGAGCUGUGUUUAGCUUAAAUCCUCGUUUACGUUGUAUGUUGGAGUAUGACCCAAAGACAUCCCGAUUCAAUAGUUUUUUUUUUUUUUUUUUAAAUCUCCUUUCAUGCUUGCAUAGAAGGAUUUAGAUUUUGCCUGUCAUUAUUAUUCCUUGGUGGGACAUUUAUUAAGAACAAGUAUAAGGGUCACUUGCUCGCUGCUACUGGGAAAAAUGGAAACUAAGGUAAUGAAAUAAGCCUCUUUUAACAAAAAAAAUUUAAAUUCAAUUGAUGCCACUCUGCGUAGGUAAACUUUACAUUAUUUUUUAGGUAUUACUGUUUUAUAUUUAGGGGUUUGUUCCUUACUAUUCUAUUUUACAAUGUUAAACACCCGCCUGGUUAGGUUUUUUUUUUUUUUUGGUGGUUGUUGCUAUGUUCGUCUCAUGAAAGCCAAAUUUCAGUUUGUGACAGAUCUGUCAGUACAUAAACUUGUUAUGAUCUAAUGUUCUUAUGAUGAAAAUAAGUAUGUAUCCUUUAGUGUUUGCAGUCAUUGAUUCCGAGAAUGAAGAGAAUUGGACUUGGUUCCUCCAAAAUCUUGCAGAAAUUGUCAACGCCCAAUGGAGAACUAUAACAUUCAUAUCUGAUCGUAAUAAAGGAUUGCUUGAAGCACUGCCAUAUGUGUUCCCACAUUAACCACAUGCAUUUUGCUUCCACAAUUUAAAACACAAUGUCCUUGCCAAGUAUCCAUCUUCAUUGGGGAAGACAAACCGUGAUUGGAUUGUUCAUCUUUUUGGUAAGUGUGCAUAUGCUUUGACUGAAGACGCAUUGGAAAUGCGUAUGAGAACGUUGCAAGAGGAGGGUGGUGCUGUAAUAAUAGAGUUCUUGAAAAACCUUCCAAAAGAAAAUUGGUCAGCUGCUUACUUUCCAGAUAAAAUGUUUAAAUUCAAUUGAAGCCACUGUGUAGGUAAACUAUGCCUUAUUUUUCAGGUAUUAAAAGGUAAUGUUUUAGAUUUUGAGGUUUGUUCCUUACAAUAUGGUGAAAUCCUAAACAAAAUAUGGUGAAAUGUGUUCAAAUGUAGCAGAGUCCUUUAAUGCAUGGAUUGUAGACCAGCGUCAUUUGCCUAUUUAGCAGUUAAUAGAUGGUAUAAGGAUUAAAAUUAUGGGAAAGAUUGCACAGAGACGACAUGCAGCAGAAGAAUGGAACACUUGUCUAUGUCCAGAAAUGGAGACAAAGUUAAAAGAAUUAUUGGACAGUGGACACCAUUGGGAUGUAAGUCGUUCUAGUGAGUUCUUGUUUGAGGUUCAUGGCGAGGACUCUGUAAUGGUUGACCUACAGAGUCGUACCUGUAGCUGCUGCAUAUGACAUAUCAAAGGUUUUCCCUGUGUACAUGCAUUUGUGGCAGUAAUAAAAAAUGAUGGGAAUCCAUUUGAUUAUGUGGGAGAGUAAUUGAAUAAUUGUGAUUCAUAUUAUAUUUUUUCAAGAAGAGGA